RNAcentral lists this ribosomal RNA (203 nucleotides) under Clostridioides difficile. RNAcentral's name for it is "partial 16S ribosomal RNA". It matches the Rfam family "Bacterial small subunit ribosomal RNA", at positions 763 to 966 of the family's 1533-position model. Lineage: Bacteria; Bacillati; Bacillota; Clostridia; Peptostreptococcales; Peptostreptococcaceae. The record is from RNAcentral.
GGGGAGCAGCAAACAGGAUUAGAUACCCUGGUAGUCCACGCUGUAAACGAUGAGUACUAGGUGUCGGGGGUUACCCCCUUCGGUGCCGCAGCUAACGCAUUAAGUACUCCGCCUGGGAAGUACGCUCGCAAGAGUGAAACUCAAAGGAAUUGGGGACCCGCACAAGUAGCGGAGCAUGUGGUUUAAUUCGAAGCAACGCGAAG